GACGAACGCUGGCGGCGUGCUUAACACAUGCAAGUCGAACGGAAAGGCCCUGCUUUUGUGGGGUGCUCGAGUGGCGAACGGGUGAGUAACACGUGAGUAACCUGCCCUUGACUUUGGGAUAACUUCAGGAAACUGGGGCUAAUACCGGAUAGGAGCUCCUGCUGCAUGGUGGGGGUUGGAAAGUUUCGGCGGUUGGGGAUGGACUCGCGGCUUAUCAGCUUGUUGGUGGGGUAGUGGCUUACCAAGGCUUUGACGGGUAGCCGGCCUGAGAGGGUGACCGGCCACAUUGGGACUGCGAUACGGCCCAGACUCCUACGGGAGGCAGCAGUGGGGAAUAUUGCACAAUGGGCGGAAGCCUGAUGCAGAGACGCCGCGUGCGGGAUGACGGCCUUCGGGUUGUAAACCGCUUUCGCCUGUGACGAAGCGUGAGUGACGGUAAUGGGUAAAGAAGCACCGGCUAACUACGUG
This 468-nucleotide ribosomal RNA is filed under the name uncultured bacterium. Its description in RNAcentral is "partial 16S ribosomal RNA". It matches the Rfam family "Bacterial small subunit ribosomal RNA", at positions 28 to 507 of the family's 1533-position model. The record is from RNAcentral.